Molecule: ribosomal RNA, 589 nt
Filed under: Notemigonus crysoleucas (golden shiner)
Lineage: Eukaryota; Metazoa; Chordata; Actinopteri; Cypriniformes; Leuciscidae
Description: partial large subunit ribosomal RNA
Rfam family: Bacterial large subunit ribosomal RNA
Source: RNAcentral
ACAUCGCCUCCUGCAACUGGAUUGAGUAUAGGAGGUCCAGCCUGCCCAGUGACUACGGGUUCAACGGCCGCGGUAUUUUGACCGUGCAAAGGUAGCGCAAUCACUUGUCUCUUAAAUAGAGACCUGUAUGAAUGGCUAGACGAGGGCUUAACUGUCUCCCCCCUCCAGUCAGUGAAAUUGAUCUAUCCGUGCAGAAGCGGGUUUAACUAUACAAGACGAGAAGACCCUUUGGAGCUUAAGGUACAAAGUUCAACCACGUUAAACGACUACACAAAAAGCAAGAACUUAGUGGCGAGUGAAAUUUUACCUUCGGUUGGGGCGACCACGGAGGAGAAAAAAGCCUCCGAGUGGACUGGGCCAAAUCCCAAAGCCAAUAGAUACAUCUAUAAGCCGCAGAACAUCUGACCAAUAAUGAUCCGGCCGAAAAGCCGAUCAACGAACCAAGUUACCCUAGGGAUAACAGCGCAAUCCUCUCCCAGAGUCCAUAUCGACGAGGGGGUUUACGACCUCGAUGUUGGAUCAGGACAUCCUAAUGGUGCAGCCGCUAUUAAGGGUUCGUUUGUUCAACGAUUAAAGUCCUACGUGAUCU